This 451-nucleotide ribosomal RNA is filed under the name uncultured bacterium. RNAcentral's name for it is "bacterial SSU rRNA". It matches the Rfam family "Bacterial small subunit ribosomal RNA", at positions 29 to 524 of the family's 1533-position model. The record is from RNAcentral.
AACGAACGCUGGCGGCAGGCCUAACACAUGCAAGUCGAGCGGGGGGGUAACCCCUAGCGGCGGACGGGUGAGUAACGCGUGGGAACGUGCCCUUUGCUUCGGAAUAGCCCCUGGAAACGGGGAGUAAUACCGGAUGUGCCCUACGGGGGAAAGAAUUUCGGCAAAGGAUCGGCCCGCGUUGGAUUAGGUAGUUGGUGGGGUAAUGGCCUACCAAGCCGACGAUCCAUAGCUGGUUUGAGAGGAUGAUCAGCCACACUGGGACUGAGACACGGCCCAGACUCCUACGGGAGGCAGCAGUGGGGAAUCUUAGACAAUGGGCGCAAGCCUGAUCUAGCCAUGCCGCGUGAGCGAUGAAGGCCUUAGGGUUGUAAAGCUCUUUCGUGGGGGGAAGAUAAUGACGGUACCCCAAGAAGAAGCCCCCGGCUAACUCCGUGCCAGCAGCCGCGGUAAU